GACGAACGCUGGCGGCGUGCUUAACACAUGCAAGUCGAACGCUGAAGACCUGGCUUUUGUUGGGUUGGAUGAGUGGCGAACGGGUGAGUAACACGUGAGUAACCUGCCCUCUUCUUUGGGAUAACUCCCGGAAACGGGUGCUAAUACUGGAUAUUCACUGAUCUUCGCAUGGGGGUUGGUGGAAAGGUUUGUUCUGGUGGGUGAUGGGCUCGCGGCCUAUCAGCUUGUUGGUGGGGUGAUGGCCUACCAAGGCUUUGACGGGUAGCCGGCCUGAGAGGGUGACCGGUCACAUUGGGACUGAGAUACGGCCCAGACUGCUACGGGAGGCAGCAGUGGGGAAUAUUGCACAAUGGGCGAAAGCCUGAUGCAGCGACGCCGCGUGAGGGAUGGAGGCCUUCGGGUUGUAAACCUCUUUCGCUAAUGGUCAAGCCGCAACUGUGGGUUGUGGUGAGGGUAGUGGGUAAAGAAGCGCCGGCUAACUACGUG
This 486-nucleotide ribosomal RNA is filed under the name uncultured bacterium. Its description in RNAcentral is "partial 16S ribosomal RNA". It matches the Rfam family "Bacterial small subunit ribosomal RNA", at positions 28 to 507 of the family's 1533-position model. The record is from RNAcentral.